This 148-nucleotide small RNA is filed under the name Pongo abelii (Sumatran orangutan). RNAcentral describes it as "Metazoan signal recognition particle RNA (ENSPPYG00000041227.1)". The record is from Rfam by way of RNAcentral. Lineage: Eukaryota; Metazoa; Chordata; Mammalia; Primates; Hominidae.
GCUGGGCGUGGUGGCACAUGCCUGUAAUCCCAGGUACUCGGGAGGCUGAGGCGGGAGAAUCGCUUGAGCCCGGGAGGCGGAGGUUGCAGUGAGCCAAGAUUGUGCCACUGCACUCUAGCUUGGGCAAGAGAGUGAGACUCCGUCUCAA